RNAcentral lists this ribosomal RNA (300 nucleotides) under uncultured Lactobacillus sp. Its description in RNAcentral is "bacterial SSU rRNA". It matches the Rfam family "Bacterial small subunit ribosomal RNA", at positions 496 to 795 of the family's 1533-position model. Lineage: Bacteria; Bacillati; Bacillota; Bacilli; Lactobacillales; Lactobacillaceae. The record is from RNAcentral.
GAUAAGUACGUGCCAGCAGGCGCGGUAAGACGUAGGUUGCAAGCGUUGGCCGGAAUUAUUUGGCGUAAAGCGCGCGCAGGCGGUGCUUUAAGUCUGAUGUGAAAGCCCACGGCUCAACCGUGGAGGGUCAUUGGAAACUGGGGGACUUGAGUGCAGAAGAGGAAAGCGGAAUUCCACGUGUAGCGGUGAAAUGCGUAGAGAUGUGGAGGAACACCAGUGGCGAAGGCGGCUUUCUGGUCUGUAACUGACGCUGAGGCGCGAAAGCGUGGGGAGCAAACAGGAUUAGAUACCCUAGUAGUC